This 764-nucleotide ribosomal RNA is filed under the name uncultured archaeon. RNAcentral's name for it is "bacterial SSU rRNA". It matches the Rfam family "Archaeal small subunit ribosomal RNA", at positions 38 to 815 of the family's 1478-position model. The record is from RNAcentral.
UUGCAUGUCUAGCAUGCGAGUCAUUGUAGCAUACAAGGCAUACGGCUCAGUAACGCGUAGUCAACCUAACCUAUGGACGGGAAUAACCUCGGGAAACUGAGAAUAAUGCCCGAUAGAACACUAUACCUGGAAUGGUUUGUGUUCCAAAUGAUUUAUCGCCAUAGGAUGGGACUGCGGCCUAUCAGUUUGUUGGUGAGGUAAUGGCCCACCAAGACUAUUACAGGUACGGGCUCUGAGAGGAGUAGCCCGGAGAUGGGUACUGAGACACGGACCCAGGCCCUAUGGGGCGCAGCAGGCGAGAAAACUUUGCAAUGUGCGAAAGCACGACAAGGUUAAUCCGAGUGAUUUGUGCUAAACGAAUCUUUUGUUAGUCCUAGAAACACUAACGAAUAAGGGGUGGGCAAGUUCUGGUGUCAGCCGCCGCGGUAAAACCAGCACCUCAAGUGGUCAGGAUGAUUAUUGGGCCUAAAGCAUCCGUAGCCGGCUCUGUAAGUUUUCGGUUAAAUCUGUACGCUUAACGUACAGGCUGCCGGGAAUACUGCAGAGCUAGGGAGUGGGAGAGGUAGACGGUGCUCGGUAGGAAGUGGUAAAAUGCUUUGAUCUAUCGAUGACCACCUGUGGCGAAAGGCGGUCUACCAGAACACGUCCGACGGUGAGGGAUGAAAGCUGGGGAGCAACCGGAUUAGAUACCCCGGUAGUCCAGCUGUAACUAUGCAACUCAGUGAUGCAUGGCUGUGCGAUUGCAGUGCUGCAAGGAAAGCCGG